RNAcentral lists this ribosomal RNA (584 nucleotides) under uncultured bacterium. RNAcentral describes it as "partial 16S ribosomal RNA". It matches the Rfam family "Bacterial small subunit ribosomal RNA", at positions 355 to 1375 of the family's 1533-position model. The record is from RNAcentral.
UGGGGAAUUUUGGACAAUGGGCGAAAGCCUGAUCCAGCAAUGCCGCGUGUGUGAAGAAGGCCUUCGGGUUGUAAAGCACUUUUGUCCGGAAAGAAAUCCUUGGCUCUAAUACAGUCGGGGGAUGACGGUACCGGAAGAAUAAGCACCGGCUAGCUACGUGCCAGCAGCCGCGGUAAUACGUAGGGUGCAAGCGUUAAUCGGAAUUACUGGGCGUAAAGCGUGCGCAGGCGGUUUGCUAAGACCGAUGUGAAAUCCCCGGGCUCAACUUGGGAACUGCAUUGGUGACUGGCAGGCUAGAGUAUGGCAGAGGGGGGUAGGAUUCCACGUGUAGCAGUGAAAUGCGUAGAGAUGUGGAGGAAUACCGAUGGCGAAGGCAGCCCCCUGGGCCAAUACUGACGCUCAUGCACGAAAGCGUGGGGAGCAAACAGGAUUAGAUACCCUGGUAGUCCACGCCCUAAACGAUGUCAACUAGUUGUUGGGGAUUCAUUCCUUAGUAACGUAGCUAACGCGUGAAGUUGACCGCCUGGGGAGUACGGUCGCAAGAUUAAAACUUAAAGGAAUUGACGGGGUCAUAGCUGUUUCCU